AGACCAGGACAUGGAAGGAGACACUGUUCCAUAUUCGUAACUCUUUUUGCAAUCAGCCCCUUUCCCAAUCUUGCUGGAAUGUGGCCAUCUACACUCUGUGUACUUCUGGGAACGUCCAAGUUGCCCAACAAAGGCAUAGGGGUCACUAGACCUGAAUUUGACUCACGGGUCUCUGACUCACUUGGGCUUGUAAUGUGACCCAGCGAGGUAUCACCUGAAGUGGGGCUGAUAACCAUCUGGCCUCCAGGAGCGCUGGGAUUGGAUGAGACAAUGACUGUCAGAGCUUAGCAUGCAAUCCAUGUCAUACACUGUGUUCGUCUCACAGAUGUCGCUUCAGCAAGCAUGCUGGCUUCCUGCUAGGUUUGGGGAUGUUGCUGAUCUAGCCUGGAUCACCUAUUAUUAACAGGAAGGCGAAUUACCCUAUUUACAUGCAGCGUGGACAGUGAGAGAGAGAGACAGAGAGAAAGGUCUUCCUUUUUGCUGUUGGUUCACCUUCCAAUGGCCGCCGCGGCCGGUGCGCUGCGGCCAUCGCAUCGCGCUGAUCCGAAGCCAGGAGCCAGGUACUUCUCCUGGUCUCCCAUGUGGGUGCAGGGCCCAAGCACUUGGGCCAUCCUCCACCGCACUCCCAGGCCACAGCAGAGAGCUGGCCUGGAAGAGGAGCAACCGGGACAGAAUCUGGCACCCCAACCGGGACUAGAACCUGGGGUGCAGGCGCGCAGGCGGAGGAUUAACCAGCUGAGAGAACAUAGUGCCUGCUACACUGAAGACAAGUUUCCCGCUAAAGGAAAUGUAUUGAAGAAAACUUCCUGAAAACCUACUCCAACACAAACAACAGCCUAUUCCUGACACAACUCCAAAUCCCUUACAAGUUUAGUAGUUAAAAAGCUAACCCUCGGGGCAUAGGAGGUAAAGCUGUCGCCUGCAGUGCCAGCAUCCCACAUGGGUGCCAGUUCAAGCCCAGCUGCACGACUUCCAAUCCAGCUCUCUGCUAUGGCCUGGGAAAGCAGUAGAUGGCCCAAGUCCUUGGGCCCCUGCAUCUGCAUGGGAGAUCCAGAAGCUCCUGGUUCCUGGCUUCGGAUUGUCCCAGCUCCUGAUUGGCCUAGCUCUGGCUGUUGCAGCCAUUUGGAGAGUGAACCAGUGGAUGGAAGACCUUUCUCUCUCUCUCUCUCUGCCUCUGCCUCUCUGUAACUCUACCUUUCAAAUAAAU
Non-coding RNA from Oryctolagus cuniculus (rabbit), 1207 nucleotides. The record is from RefSeq and is a predicted model, not a curated record. Lineage: Eukaryota; Metazoa; Chordata; Mammalia; Lagomorpha; Leporidae.